This 502-nucleotide ribosomal RNA is filed under the name uncultured Flavobacterium sp. RNAcentral describes it as "bacterial SSU rRNA". It matches the Rfam family "Bacterial small subunit ribosomal RNA", at positions 9 to 510 of the family's 1533-position model. The record is from RNAcentral. Lineage: Bacteria; Pseudomonadati; Bacteroidota; Flavobacteriia; Flavobacteriales; Flavobacteriaceae.
GAGUUUGAUCCUGGCUCAGGAUGAACGCUAGCGGCAGGCCUAACACAUGCAAGUCGAGGGGUAGAGGAAGCCUGCUUCCUUGAGACCGGCGCACGGGUGCGUAACGCGUAUGCAAUCUACCUUGUACAGAGGGAUAGCCCAGAGAAAUUUGGAUUAAUACCUCAUAGUGUUAUGAUGUGGCAUCACAUUAUAACUAAAGUUUCAACGGUACAAGAUGAGCAUGCGUCCCAUUAGCUAGUUGGUGUGGUAACGGCAUACCAAGGCAAUGAUGGGUAGGGGUCCUGAGAGGGAGAUCCCCCACACUGGUACUGAGACACGGACCAGACUCCUACGGGAGGCAGCAGUGAGGAAUAUUGGUCAAUGGGCGCAAGCCUGAACCAGCCAUGCCGCGUGCAAGAUGACGGUCCUAUGGAUUGUAAACUGCUUUUAUACAGGAAGAAACACCCCUUCGUGAAGGGACUUGACGGUACUGUAGGAAUAAGGAUCGGCUAACUCCGUGCCA